This is a long non-coding RNA of Miniopterus natalensis, 757 nucleotides long. RefSeq lists it as uncharacterized. The record is from RefSeq and is a predicted model, not a curated record. NCBI's taxonomy places the organism in Eukaryota, Metazoa, Chordata, Mammalia, Chiroptera, Miniopteridae.
CGUUGAAUCCGUUGGGGGGACAGUCUCAGGGCAGCCGUCCACCCUCCGGUUUCCCGGGCCACCGCCUCCCAGCGUUGCUCCCCGAGCUGCCCGCACGCAGGCACCACCCUGCCUGCCUCGGACACGCACUCCUGACCCAGAACCUCAAGAUGAGGAAGGGAGAGAGGCUGGGAAAGCAGCCGUGUGGGUUCAAAACCCAGCCUCGGGAGGCCCUGGUCUACCUGCCCUGAUGGGGAAAAUUCAAAGUCUGACCUCAGGGUACUGGAUUCCGGAGAGAACUUUGGAACCAAAGGCUUCUCCAUCUACCAACCGGGUGACCCUCAGGCACAUUCCUAGUCUUCUGUACCUGAGUUUCCCCUGUCAAAAAAAGCAUACUACUACUACCUACCUCCGGGUUUUUGCGGCAAUUUAACAUAAGUUAAUAAAAACAGAAUGUUUGGAAUCAUGCCCAACACAUUAGGUUUGGACAUUUCUUAUGUUGACAUUUACUUGGUGUAGUGGGGCAGGAUUCCAAAGAAGCCCACCCAGGACCACCUUGCAGACCCAGACCUAGACUUGGUACCAGCAGAAGCCCACUGUGCCCCAACAGCUCCUCAGUCUGCAUUGUUUUGCAUCAGGGUGAAGUUGGGCGAGUUUCCCUUGGAAUUCCAGAACUCCCUGUUUUAAGGUAAGAGGCCUGACAUUAUUUAAGCUCUUAAAAAAAAAAAGUUGAGGUGGAGCUAAAGGUUAAAGAUUGAGAGAAACCAAGCUAAAGGUA